Molecule: ribosomal RNA, 1062 nt
Filed under: Escherichia coli
Lineage: Bacteria; Pseudomonadati; Pseudomonadota; Gammaproteobacteria; Enterobacterales; Enterobacteriaceae
Description: partial 23S ribosomal RNA
Rfam family: Bacterial large subunit ribosomal RNA
Source: RNAcentral
UUCGACACACUAUCAUUAACUGAAUCCAUAGGUUAAUGAGGCGAACCGGGGGAACUGAAACAUCUAAGUACCCCGAGGAAAAGAAAUCAACCGAGAUUCCCCCAGUAGCGGCGAGCGAACGGGGAGGAGCCCAGAGCCUGAAUCAGUGUGUGUGUUAGUGGAAGCGUCUGGAAAGGCGCGCGAUACAGGGUGACAGCCCCGUACACAAAAAUGCACAUGCUGUGAGCUCGAUGAGUAGGGCGGGACACGUGGUAUCCUGUCUGAAUAUGGGGGGACCAUCCUCCAAGGCUAAAUACUCCUGACUGACCGAUAGUGAACCAGUACCGUGAGGGAAAGGCGAAAAGAACCCCGGCGAGGGGAGUGAAAAAGAACCUGAAACCGUGUACGUACAAGCAGUGGGAGCACAGAGCAAUCUGUGUGACUGCGUACCUUUUGUAUAAUGGGUCAGCGACUUAUAUUCUGUAGCAAGGUUAACCGAAUAGGGGAGCCGAAGGGAAACCGAGUCUUAACUGGGCGUUAAGUUGCAGGGUAUAGACCCGAAACCCGGUGAUCUAGCCAUGGGCAGGUUGAAGGUUGGGUAACACUAACUGGAGGACCGAACCGACUAAUGUUGAAAAAUUAGCGGAUGACUUGUGGCUGGGGGUGAAAGGCCAAUCAAACCGGGAGAUAGCUGGUUCUCCCCGAAAGCUAUUUAGGUAGCGCCUCGUGAAUUCAUCUCCGGGGGUAGAGCACUGUUUCGGCAAGGGGGUCAUCCCGACUUACCAACCCGAUGCAAACUGCGAAUACCGGAGAAUGUUAUCACGGGAGACACACGGCGGGUGCUAACGUCCGUCGUGAAGAGGGAAACAACCCAGACCGCCAGCUAAGGUCCCAAAGUCAUGGUUAAGUGGGAAACGAUGUGGGAAGGCCCAGACAGCCAGGAUGUUGGCUUAGAAGCAGCCAUCAUUUAAAGAAAGCGUAAUAGCUCACUGGUCGAGUCGGCCUGCGCGGAAGAUGUAACGGGGCUAAACCAUGCACCGAAGCUGCGGCAGCGACACUGUGUGUUGUUGGGUAGGGGAGCGU